GAUUAAGUUAUUAAGGGCGCACGGUGGAUGCCUUGGCACUAGAAGCCGAUGAAGGACGUUACUAACGACGAUAUGCUUUGGGGAGCUGUAAGUAAGCUUUGAUCCAGAGAUUUCCGAAUGGGGAAACCCAGCAUGAGUUAUGUCAUGUUAUCGAUAUGUGAAUACAUAGCAUAUCAGAAGGCACACCCGGAGAACUGAAACAUCUUAGUACCCGGAGGAAGAGAAAGAAAAUUCGAUUCCCUUAGUAGCGGCGAGCGAAACGGGAAGAGCCCAAACCAACAAGCUUGUUGGGGUUGUAGGACACUCUAUACGGAGUUACAAAGGACGACAUUAGACGAAUCAUCUGGAAAGAUGAAUCAAAGAAGGUAAUAAUCCUGUAGUCGAAAAUGUUGUCUCUCUUGAGUGGAUCCUGAGUACGACGGAGCACGUGAAAUUCCGUCGGAAUCUGGGAGGACCAUCUCCUAAGGCUAAAUACUCUCUAGUGACCGAUAGUGAACCAGUACCGUGAGGGAAAGGUGAAAAGCACCCCGGAAGGGGAGUGAAAUAGAACCUGAAACCGUGUGCUUACAAGUAGUCAGAGCCCGUUAAUGGGUGAUGGCGUGCCUUUUGUAGAAUGAACCGGCGAGUUACGAUUUGAUGCAAGGUUAAGCAGUAAAUGUGGAGCCGUAGCGAAAGCGAGUCUGAAUAGGGCGUUUAGUAUUUGGUCGUAGACCCGAAACCAGGUGAUCUACCCUUGGUCAGGUUGAAGUUCAGGUAACACUGAAUGGAGGACCGAACCGACUUACGUUGAAAAGUGAGCGGAUGAACUGAGGGUAGCGGAGAAAUUCCAAUCGAACCUGGAGAUAGCUGGUUCUCUCCGAAAUAGCUUUAGGGCUAGCCUCAAGUGAUGAUUAUUGGAGGUAGAGCACUGUUUGGACGAGGGGCCCCUCUCGGGUUACCGAAUUCAGACAAACUCCGAAUGCCAAUUAAUUUAACUUGGGAGUCAGAACAUGGGUGAUAAGGUCCGUGUUCGAAAGGGAAACAGCCCAGACCACCAGCUAAGGUCCCAAAAUAUAUGUUAAGUGGAAAAGGAUGUGGCGUUGCCCAGACAACUAGGAUGUUGGCUUAGAAGCAGCCAUCAUUUAAAGAGUGCGUAAUAGCUCACUAGUCGAGUGACACUGCGCCGAAAAUGUACCGGGGCUAAACAUAUUACCGAAGCUGUGGAUUGUCCUUUGGACAAUGGUAGGAGAGCGUUCUAAGGGCGUUGAAGCAUGAUCGUAAGACAUGUGGAGCGCUUAGAAGUGAGAAUGCCGGUGUGAGUAGCGAAAGACGGGUGAGAAUCCCGUCCACCGAUUGACUAAGGUUUCCAGAGGAAGGCUCGUCCGCUCUGGGUUAGUCGGGUCCUAAGCUGAGGCCGACAGGCGUAGGCGAUGGAUAACAGGUUGAUAUUCCUGUACCACCUAUAAUCGUUUUAAUCGAUGGGGGGACGCAGUAGGAUAGGCGAAGCGUGCGAUUGGAUUGCACGUCUAAGCAGUAAGGCUGAGUAUUAGGCAAAUCCGGUACUCGUUAAGGCUGAGCUGUGAUGGGGAGAAGACAUUGUGUCUUCGAGUCGUUGAUUUCACACUGCCGAGAAAAGCCUCUAGAUAGAAAAUAGGUGCCCGUACCGCAAACCGACACAGGUAGUCAAGAUGAGAAUUCUAAGGUGAGCGAGCGAACUCUCGUUAAGGAACUCGGCAAAAUGACCCCGUAACUUCGGGAGAAGGGGUGCUCUUUAGGGUUAACGCCCAGAAGAGCCGCAGUGAAUAGGCCCAAGCGACUGUUUAUCAAAAACACAGGUCUCUGCUAAACCGUAAGGUGAUGUAUAGGGGCUGACGCCUGCCCGGUGCUGGAAGGUUAAGAGGAGUGGUUAGCUUAUGCGAAGCUACGAAUCGAAGCCCCAGUAAACGGCGGCCGUAACUAUAACGGUCCUAAGGUAGCGAAAUUCCUUGUCGGGUAAGUUCCGACCCGCACGAAAGGCGUAACGAUUUGGGCACUGUCUCAACGAGAGACUCGGUGAAAUCAUAGUACCUGUGAAGAUGCAGGUUACCCGCGACAGGACGGAAAGACCCCGUGGAGCUUUACUGUAGCCUGAUAUUGAAAUUCGGCACAGCUUGUACAGGAUAGGUAGGAGCCUUUGAAACGUGAGCGCUAGCUUACGUGGAGGCGCUGGUGGGAUACUACCCUAGCUGUGUUGGCUUUCUAACCCGCACCACUUAUCGUGGUGGGAGACAGUGUCAGGCGGGCAGUUUGACUGGGGCGGUCGCCUCCUAAAAGGUAACGGAGGCGCUCAAAGGUUCCCUCAGAAUGGUUGGAAAUCAUUCAUAGAGUGUAAAGGCAUAAGGGAGCUUGACUGCGAGACCUACAAGUCGAGCAGGGUCGAAAGACGGACUUAGUGAUCCGGUGGUUCCGCAUGGAAGGGCCAUCGCUCAACGGAUAAAAGCUACCCCGGGGAUAACAGGCUUAUCUCCCCCAAGAGUUCACAUCGACGGGGAGGUUUGGCACCUCGAUGUCGGCUCAUCGCAUCCUGGGGCUGUAGUCGGUCCCAAGGGUUGGGCUGUUCGCCCAUUAAAGCGGUACGCGAGCUGGGUUCAGAACGUCGUGAGACAGUUCGGUCCCUAUCCGUCGUGGGCGUAGGAAAUUUGAGAGGAGCUGUCCUUAGUACGAGAGGACCGGGAUGGACAUACCUCUGGUGUACCAGUUGUCGUGCCAACGGCAUAGCUGGGUAGCUAUGUGUGGACGGGAUAAGUGCUGAAAGCAUCUAAGCAUGAAGCCCCCUCAAGAUGAGAUUUCCCAACUUCGGUUAUAAGAUC
RNAcentral lists this ribosomal RNA (2828 nucleotides) under Staphylococcus aureus subsp. aureus Tager 104. RNAcentral's name for it is "bacterial LSU rRNA". It matches the Rfam family "Bacterial large subunit ribosomal RNA". The record is from RNAcentral. Lineage: Bacteria; Bacillati; Bacillota; Bacilli; Caryophanales; Staphylococcaceae.